This is a non-coding RNA of Labrus bergylta (ballan wrasse), 1224 nucleotides long. NCBI's taxonomy places the organism in Eukaryota, Metazoa, Chordata, Actinopteri, Labriformes, Labridae. The record is from RefSeq and is a predicted model, not a curated record.
CAGGGAUGACAGGGGUCUCAGCGGUGAGGUCGGAGCGGCACAGCUGGAUGCAGUCCUGCAGGAGACGAGGAGAUGAGGAGACGAGGCGGACGAGGGGAUUCAAACCUGCCCGCUGAGGUGUCCAGUUACAGCAGCUCGUCUUUGUGUGGGUGUGACGGAUCUGCAGAGGAUUAAAGUGAUUGAAGCGUGCAAAGCUGAUCGAGAGCUUCAGUGAUUCACAGUCAAGUCAUUUCUGUUAAAGGACGCUUUUCUUCUAAUGGAGCAAAACGAGAAACAUCAGGGGUGAGCAGAAUUAGACAUGACGACAGUUUACAGAAUCUCCAUGAACAGGAUGAAAUGUUACACAAAGAAGAAGAAGAAGAAGAAGUGAGAGGAAAACACUUGCUGGGUGUGUAUGCGUCUCACAGAAGAUCAACCAAAGUAUCAAAGACAACAGAAUAAGAGUAACAGCCUCUCUUCACGUAUGAAGAUUUCACCAGUUUCUCACUCGUCCAUCCCGAGCCGCUCGUCGCUGCUGCGUCCUCACAUCAGAUCAUCCUGACUUGAUAAUCGAUAAAAUAGGAAUUAAAAAUGCUUUCACACAUUCAGCUCACAGUCACUUGAUGUUUUAGGAGUGCACUGUGUGUGUGUGUGUGUGUGUGUGUGAGAGAGAGAAGAUCUAACAAAAUGACUGACAGAACCGAAAAAGAAAUCUGAAAAUAGAUUGAAUAGAAAAAGGUGUGCAGGCGUGUGUGUUUCAUUAAGAUCUUCUGAUGUGUUCCUUCCAUCUGUUUAGCUUUGAGAUAAAUCUCACACUCAUCGCCCCCGUCUAAUAUUACAUUACCUUAAACUUGCUCCUGUAGUUUUAUUUUCCUGGGGGGUGGCGGCAGCAACUUUUUAUGGAGCAGAGAGUAUACUAGCAAAUGAAGAGACAUGAAAGUGCCACUUCAAAUGGGUUGAAAGUGAAAGAAGCUGCUGAUUUUGCAGAUGCAACAUCAGCCACACUAAACGAUACAUCCCUGCAGAAUGUAAAAAAAAUAAAUAAAAAAAAAGCCUCUUGUAUGUAGAUGUGAGAAAAAGAAAGGCAGAAAGCUCACCUGUCCCAUGUUAGAGGACUGGAGGUUACAUAAGGCUGUCAGUUUAGCUACUUUUUUACUACUACUGCUGUGUGAUUCAUUCAUGUUUGGACAAAAAGAGUGAUUAACAUCAUUGAAGUACCAUGAAAUAAAGAUUGAACCAUGUUAA